AUGUAUCUUCUUAACUGGAUUUUCCUUGCUGCUACUAUAAAAGGUGUCCAGUGUGAGGUGAAACUAGUGGAGUCUGGGGGGUCUCUGAGACUCUCCUGUGCAGCCUCUGUGUUCCCCUUGAGUAGCUAUAACAUGAACUUGUUUCGCCAAGCUCCAGGAAAGGGCCUGCAGUGGGUAUCACAUAUUACUGCUGAUGGUAACAAAUACUACGCAGGCUCCAUGAAGGAGAUUCACCAUCUCCAGAGAUAAUACCAAGAACUUGCUGUAUCUACAGAUGAACAAUCUGAGAACUGAGGACACAGCCAUGUAUUACUGUGCAAGGAAGUCGGUGUGAACUCAGAGAGAAAGCUCUCUGUGA
This is a non-coding RNA of Elephantulus edwardii (Cape elephant shrew), 358 nucleotides long. NCBI's taxonomy places the organism in Eukaryota, Metazoa, Chordata, Mammalia, Macroscelidea, Macroscelididae. The record is from the annotation of a RefSeq genome assembly.